GACGAACGCUGGCGGCGUGCUUGACACAUGCAAGUCGAACGGAAAGGCCUGCUUUCCCUUGUGGAUUGUGGGUACUCGAGUGGCGAACGGGUGAGUAACACGUGAGUGAUCUGCCCCCAACUUGGGUAUAAGCCUGGGAAACUGGGUCUAAUUCCCGAUAGGACUGCAGGGUGGUGCCUGUGGUGGAAAACGAUUUUCUAGUGGUUGGGGAUGAGCUCGCGGCCUAUCAGCUUGUUGGUGGGGUAAUGGCCUACCAAGGCGGCGACGGGUAGCCGGCCUGAGAGGGUGGACGGCCACAUUGGGACUGAGAUACGGCCCAGACUCCUACGGGAGGCAGCAGUGGGGAAUAUUGCACAAUGGGCGGAAGCCUGAUGCAGCGACGCCGCGUGGGGGAUGACGGCCUUCGGGUUGUAAACUCCUUUCGACCGCGAGGAAGCCACCUGGUUGGAAGGGUGGUGACGGUAGUGGUAGAAGAAGCACCGGCUAACUUCGUG
This 494-nucleotide ribosomal RNA is filed under the name uncultured bacterium. Its description in RNAcentral is "partial 16S ribosomal RNA". It matches the Rfam family "Bacterial small subunit ribosomal RNA", at positions 28 to 507 of the family's 1533-position model. The record is from RNAcentral.